RNAcentral lists this long non-coding RNA (1816 nucleotides) under Olea europaea subsp. europaea. The record is from RNAcentral. Lineage: Eukaryota; Viridiplantae; Streptophyta; Magnoliopsida; Lamiales; Oleaceae.
CUGACCACACAUUGAAAAUUUACCUAAAUCACGUAUAGAAAAGUAUUACCUGCCAAAGUGGUUGGAGAAUGUUGAUAGAAAUGUCUACGGUUGAUCCAGAUUUCAUUCAUUGGCUCAUUUCUGAGCCUCCUUGCCAGUAAAUCUACCAAAAGAAUUUCAGGACGAACAUAUAGCGUUAGUGGUUGGUUUUGAGGAAUUUACAAAAUCCCAUCAAAAAAGUCGAGAUCCGGAGGGUUUGCUAGAUUUUCAUGAGGAGGGUUUGGAUCAUCUAUUUCUAAAUAAUCAACAAUAAAAAUAUCAUUCAUAUCAACAUGUUCAAAACUGUCGUUGGGAGGAUUAGGAUGCUGAAACAACGACAAAGUUGAUGGCUGUAAAGGAAGGUAAAAUGGAUUUGAAAUUAGUAAAUACGAGUUGUUAGAUACUAAUGCCCAAUCAAGAUCAUUGUCCUUUUUUGUUGGAUGAGUUCGGAGUUUUCGUGGGAGGAGUUUAGAGUUUUUGUGGGAAGAGUUUGGAGUUUAGAUUGCUGACUAUCUCAACCUAUUAGCGAGUUUAAAUCUCAAAUUCUAGUGGAGGUUUCAUCUUGCAAAGCAAAUUUACGACCCUUAUUUCAUCUGUGACUCGAGUAGAAUGUUCGUAGCACCAUUAAUAUCAUUUUUGGAGCGAAUGAGAGCUUGUCUCACCGAGUUUCUGUCGAAAACCAUUGAAACCAGUGUGGCAAUGGAGUCCUCAGGCGAAUUGAUUGUGGAUGAUGAUCGAGCAGGAUCGGUUCCCUAGAGCCAAAGGAGAAAGAAUUUUUGAAGCAACCAAACCUACGUUCAGCCUUUUCCUAUCUUUUAAAAUACUGACCAUAAUGUAGGACUAGUUAGUAUAAUCUAUAAUUUUCAAAUUUACAUAAUAAUUCAGUCUUUGUUUAUCGCAUUACAUACAAUCCAUUGAGGUUUAUGGGUAUGGAUUUUGUCUUAUAUUAAAGUUUGACAACUUGUAAUGGUCGAAGAUUUUUGGAAAGGAUCAAGAGCAAGAGCAAGAACAAAAGUUACAGCAAAAUCCAACACUUCUUUUCUUUAUCAUUUUUAACAACACCCGUCCACACCUAUAAAUCAAAGAGGGAAAAGUGAAUUUGCUCAACUCCUCAAUUCAGUACAUAACUCUUAAAAUGACGAGUGAACUUGCCCUAAAUGAGGAGAUUAAGCCUUUUACUAGUAAUGUUGAUGUCAAGAUGUUGAAAUUUAAAAGCAAAUAUGAAGAAUGUAAGCCUUUAGAUUGAUCUUGGAGUCUUUGAUAAAUUUCGUGUGGUGGUUUUACAAACUGAUUCUUAUUGAGACAAGGACGGGCUGCAAAUGAAGUUCACACUUUCUAAUUCGAUGAACUAGUAGAGGAAAAAAUAAAUUCAACGGCCAGUGCAAUAAUAAACCAAAAGCCCCUACAAGAUUCAACCUUCGGUCAUUAUAUUUGAUAUAUUAUGGAAAGGAAUUUAUGUUAGUUAUGAACUGUUGCAGCUGCUCAGUAAGAUAUCUUUAUGAGUUAUCAUCUUGCAGCCUCCCACCACCACAUUGUGAAGUUACAAAAUGUAAUUUGUUACCAAGUCACUUUUGCAUGAUGAAGUGAUUUGCAAAAGCAUCACACAAUCUUGAAAUGACUAACAGAUGGACAAACAAAGGAUCAACAAACACAUUUCUUUAUCCUCGACAGCCAUCCCAUCCAUUACAUUGACCUCAGAAGGCAAAAGUUGGGUGAAGAAUUUGAGAAGAGGCCAUAUUCAAGUUCAGAUAUAAUUCAUCACUAGAUUGAUCAUUUAAGGAACUGCAACAGAUCUGAG